RNA transcript from Carassius gibelio (silver crucian carp), 3445 nucleotides. It is a transcript of the gene named protein lin-7 homolog C, with no coding region annotated. The record is from RefSeq and is a predicted model, not a curated record. Lineage: Eukaryota; Metazoa; Chordata; Actinopteri; Cypriniformes; Cyprinidae. The transcript has 6 exons.
AUUCGCCCUUUAAUCUCUUAGCAUUGGCUACAGCGCUUAAACUCAGCUAGCUAAUAACAACAAACACAGCAGCCGAGACUUGAGGCUGGAGCUGUCGCCAAACGCUAACUCUGUAUCCAGGGCUAAAAUGGCCUCUCUAGGAGAAUCUGUUCGUCUGGAAAGAGACAUUUCUCGUGCCAUUGAGCUGCUGGACAAACUCCAGAGGACAGGGGAAGUGCCUCCCCAGAAGCUGCAGGCGCUGCAGAGGGUUUUACAGAGUGAGUUCUGUAAUGCCGUCCGCGAGGUAUAUGAGCAUGUGUACGAGACCGUGGACAUAAAUAGCAGCCCAGAAGUGAGGGCAAAUGCAACAGCAAAGGCUACAGUUGCUGCAUUUGCAGCCAGUGAGGGUCAUUCUCACCCACGUGUGGUAGAGCUCCCUAAAACAGAGGAAGGACUGGGGUUCAACAUCAUGGGUGGGAAGGAACAAAACUCGCCCAUCUACAUCUCCCGCAUCAUUCCUGGAGGCAUCGCAGAUCGGCACGGUGGCCUGAAGAGAGGAGACCAGCUGCUGUCCGUUAAUGGAGUGAGUGUAGAAGGAGAGCACCAUGAGAAAGCUGUGGAGCUGCUGAAGGCUGCUCAGGGUACAGUGAAGCUGGUGGUACGGUACACCCCUAAGGUCCUGGAAGAGAUGGAGUCGCGCUUUGAGAAGCUGAGGUCUGCCAAACGCCGGCAACAGAACAACUUCCCCCAGUAGGCCAUCUUGCCUGAGCCCUCUGCCCCUCCCAUCUCUCUCUCUCUCUCUCUCUCUGUCUUUAAUUCUUCUGCCAUCUGUCUUCCUCGUUCACACUCACUCACCCUCUUUCUCCAGCCAGGGAUUAGCCACAUGUUUGGCACUCCUUUUUGUGAAAAUUUUCUAAAUCCUCACCUCCUCAACGGUUUUUUAACAGUCUUUUCACACACUUCUUUCUCAUAGCAUGAACACUACUACAUUGGCUCUGGAUGUUGUCAUGUAGACAUCUCACACACACAUGUACACCUGGUGCAUUACAAUGAAUGUACUGUCAUUUGGGAUGUUGAUUAGUUAGAUAUGCAAGGGGACCAUUGCAAUGUUCAACUCCUGAGGUCGUCUGAAUGAAAAUGUCAAAAAAGUGCCUCAAGAGAUUUACAAAAAAAAAAAAAAGGUCUGCAGCCUCCACUAUGUCACAACGUAGGCUGUGUUUUAUGGUCUAAGCACAAAAUGAGUGAACACUACCACCUUGUUAAAAUGCUAAAUGACUGUAAGUUUCAUAAUCUCAGUAACAGUAUACCAUGAAGGUUUUAUGAUGUAUUAUCAUGUGCUAUUCUCACUGUUUGCCCACAGAAAAAGGAAAAGUCUACCAGAGAAAAAUAAAAAAACGAUCUAAUUUUGAGUCUCUAGAGAGAUAAAUGGCAGAGCGGUGACACAAGUAUCCCAUCAGUACUGCUGUUUUUUUUCUGUUCAGCAGAAAAUAUACUCCUGUACCAAAAUAAUGGCACACUAAUAUCGCUUGAAACGAUCGUCAAACUGAUUGACUCUUCACAUAAUGUUUACAGUACAAACUGACUUUUUUUUUUCUCUCUUUCGUGAAUCUGUGGGGGAAAAAAAUUCUGUGAAAAUCUACAUUAACUGGCAAAUCAGUUCAAUAUCAACUUUUAUCAACAAGAUUAUUGAACUGUUUGGGUUUGUUUAGACUCUUUUAGAGCCACAAAACAUUUUACAUACACUCCUGAUUACUCCAUUUAAACAUUCAGCUUUUGAUGGAAAAUAUGUGAAUGGAGUGUUUAUGAAUCGUUCACCCAAACAUCAGUUCAGAGGAGAUGCUUGUGGCACUGUUUGGGUGUUAGAUAAAUAGAAAAUGAAUAGAAAAUAAAACACUUUUUUUAGCGUAUGCCCCUUAAAGCACACAAUGAAGCAGUCACCUAGCUCUUAUUCAGGCUUGCAUUCCAGGUGUUGUUUGUGGAAAUUAAAAAUGUAAUUUCAAUCCUCACAGCAGAAACACUAAGUUUAAAACCAUAGGGGGAAUUUAAUUGUUUUAUGGCUGUUGUAUCGUCUGUCGUUUCCUAACACUUUCUGAAUGUUAAUGUGGCACUUGGCUUUCAGUCAGCUGUGGGUCCAUAUGUUUCACCCAGUUCAAGCUGAUCAUUACAAAGAUCUGCAUCAUGUUUCAGAAGCCGUUCACUUAAAUGCUUAUAUUAGCAUUUCACGAGGUAGCAACUGAGCAUAAUGCUAGCAAAACAGCAAUGAAUGCAUAAACGAAUGUUUAAGAAUACCGUCUUUAUUCACCAUUCAUUAUAUGAGACCUGUCUUAACGAAGCUCAAGAGAAAUUAUUAAUUGGUGCUGUCAUUUUCAUUUUUUCAUUCAUUUAUUUAUUUUUUUUCUUCUGAAAGUCAGGAAUUAAUUCACACAUAGCAAUGUCUGCAGGGAAAGCGAUGCACAUCUCGAGCUGAGAUUUUAUCAGAUCUUCUCCAGAUAUUUUACUGGCUAAAAAUGCAGUCCCGUUACAUUCAUUACUUUAGAUUCAACAUCUACUUGAUGUUACAGCCAAAUUUUAAGGACUUAUUUGAUAUUUUUUUUUAUUGCUAUAUAUAUUUUUAAUCCUGAUUUGUCAAGAUUCAUAUUAUAAAAGUAGUUUUCACACUGUACUUUGAACCUCUUUGUACUCCUUUUCACAUGUUAAAAAAAUGCAACACGCUUUAUGUAUUUUUAACCUCAAGUGCAGGUAUUUUCAGUAUCUGACAAACUUGGAAAAAAAACAAUCUAUUUUUCUCAGUCUCUCAUAAAAUAUUGAACGUGUCUAAUUCUAGAGGCCCAUGACUCACCCUGAGCUGUGAGAUACGUAGGUGUUUUGGGGGUGAGAGAUAAAAGGGAGGUCUGAUGUCUUGCAUUGAGGAAUCAUUUGUGUUAUUGACUAAAAAGUAUAAUCAAGCGAUUUUCUUUUCUUUCUGUGGUGUGUAAGGUGCUCAGGUUGGCUCUGGCAACAAUAUCAUGAAUUUGGAAGCAUCAUGAAUCACAAGAGCAAUAAUGAGACAUGAUCCGUUCAUCAUCAUCUCAGACAGGUUACUCACUCCCCAUUCAUACUUGGAUUUGUCCACGGGGGGCUGACUAAAUAUUUUUAUAACCUUUUUCUUUUGAUAUUUAACCCCUUUUGAUAAAGUGUUUUUUUUUUUUUUUAAGAAAGCUUUGUAUUGAUUUACCCUGACCACAUUCUCCCUGUAAUCCAGGUAACAAGACCAAAUUUGCAUCCAUUCUGGGAGCUGUUUCAGUGUCUGGUCAGCUAGUUUGGAUUGUUUUUUUUUUUUUUUUUUUAAAAACUGUUAGUUUGUUGUAUUUGUUUGACAUUUCUGUAUUGUCCUGCUGUAUUGUGUUUACAUUAAUGGGGAUGUAUAAAGACUGAUCAAAGUGAUAUGUUUUGAGGAUACAGAGUUUAAAUAUACUGUGGGUAUAAA